RNAcentral lists this long non-coding RNA (375 nucleotides) under Hordeum vulgare. RNAcentral describes it as "long non-coding RNA (HVUL_LNC004605)". Lineage: Eukaryota; Viridiplantae; Streptophyta; Magnoliopsida; Poales; Poaceae. The record is from RNAcentral.
UGCUGGUGCUGGUAUAGGUGCUGGUGCUGGUAGAGGUGCUGGAAGAGGUGCUGGAAGAGGAGGUUUCUCAGCCCCAAGAUGGGUUGCUAGUGCUUCUACUUCUGGCAAUAUUGGAUGGGCUAGUUACUUCAAUGCUAGUGGUAAUAGAUGAGCUAGGUGACAGUAAGGCUAGGUGACAGUAAUGCUAGUGGAUGUUUUGUAAUGCUAGUGGUCUGUUUGAGAACUAUUGUGGUGUUUGAGAACUAUUGUGGUGUUUGAUAACUUUUGUGGUGUUUGGUAAUAUAUGAGCUAGGUGACAGUUAUGCUGAAAUUUUGCUUGUGUACUGCUUGGAUAUAUAUACUCAAUUAUACUUGGAUAUAUAUACUGAAAUUAAC